This is a long non-coding RNA of Suricata suricatta (meerkat), 1090 nucleotides long. RefSeq lists it as uncharacterized. The record is from RefSeq and is a predicted model, not a curated record. The transcript has 8 exons. NCBI's taxonomy places the organism in Eukaryota, Metazoa, Chordata, Mammalia, Carnivora, Herpestidae.
GGUUAAUCGGUUUUUAGAGGAUAAGUACUAUUGUGCAAGGGACCUGUCCUCGGAAGUAUGUGCAUAGACAGGACAUCAAGAGCUUCGCCUGACGUGGAGAAGUCUCAGGAGAAAUGGGGGCUCAAGACUCUUUGUUGAGCUCCAGUAAUAACAAAUCACAACCUAUGCCCUCCUCAUGGUCCUUGGUUGACUGGAGUACUGUAUGCAAGAGUGAGAAGAAGCUGAUUUCUGGACAUCGGCAAGAUGGCAGAAUGGAGGCCUCCAACUCUCAGACCCACACAGAAACACCGAUUUUAACAACCUCCUACAGAUGAGAUCUUUAUGAGAAUCCAAACAUUCAGCUGAGAGGUUCCAACACCCUGGUGGAGCAACAAUUUUAAGAAUAAAUGCACUGAAGAAGAUGGCAUGUGCAAGUCCUUGCAGACGGCAGAUGGAUAACCAGCAGCUAGCCUAACAAUGCUAGAUUCGGAAAAGGCACACAGUCUCAAACACUUCAAGGGGGCUUCCUUUUCUGCUGCUCCAAGGUGUACCUGCUCCAUUUCCACCAAGUUCACAUCCUCCUAGAGAACAUCUUUGUCCUUAUCAGGGAGUAUCCUUCUUGGAAGAAAUUGAUGAUGUACUUCAUGGGGAGUUCAGCAAGCACUUUUCACUCGCAGCUGUCAGUUCCUCCAGUUGCCACAGAGUCAUGAGGUUGAAGAUGUAGGCUGCAACCGGCCCCUCCACGGUGCCUGCCUCCUAGCUGAAGGCAUUGAUUUCAAAAGGGGGGAUAGUUGACCAGCAAUGCCUCCUAGUCUUGAUUCAGUAUUAAAAGAAAAAAAAAGUUGGAAAUUCAUCUACGGAGUGUGUCUUCAAAUAUAAUAUACAGAAACCAGCAGACAUGAAGACACUGAAGCUUCCCUAUGUAGAGGCCUACACAGUGAGAAAUGGAGGCUCUAACAUGUUUGUGAAUGAGCAGCAUAUCCUUCAGCCCCAGCAAGUCUUCAGAUGACUGAAGUCCUGAUACACUCUGGGUUGAAAACUCAUGAGUGACUCUGACCUAGAACCAGUCAGCUCAGCCGCUUUCAAAUAAAUUCAUAAUCUUUAAAACUUA